RNAcentral lists this transfer RNA (75 nucleotides) under bacterium. RNAcentral's name for it is "tRNA-Asn". It matches the Rfam family "tRNA". Rfam says of the family: Transfer RNA (tRNA) molecules are approximately 80 nucleotides in length. The record is from RNAcentral.
UCCUCGGUAGCUCAAUGGUGGAGCAUCUGACUGUUAAUCAGAGGGUUGCAGGUUCGAGUCCUGCCCGAGGAGCUA